This 69-nucleotide transfer RNA is filed under the name Barbus plebejus ssp. t FP-2019. RNAcentral describes it as "tRNA-Pro". It matches the Rfam family "tRNA". From Rfam's summary of the family: Transfer RNA (tRNA) molecules are approximately 80 nucleotides in length. Lineage: Eukaryota; Metazoa; Chordata; Actinopteri; Cypriniformes; Cyprinidae. The record is from RNAcentral.
CAGAAAAUAGUUUACUUUCCAAUUCUGGCUUUGGGAGCCAGUGGUGAGAGCUAAAAUCUCUCUUUCUGG